AGGGAGUGAGGGAGGGAGUGAGGGAGGGAGGGAGGGAGGACAAGGUGGGGUUGCAAAUGAUGGUUCUCCUGACUGCACACUAGCCCCAGAAACUGUAGGAAACACAGGAACCAUAGGAACCGCAGGACUGGUUCUUCUGACGGGGCAGGGACCUGAGUCCUGACCAGAUCAAGCUAUUUUAACUACGUUUUAAUCUGUGUAUGUGAAGUAUAUGUACGCGCCUAACCCAGGUACACAGUUCAAACUGUAACUAAUAAUGUGAACUACAAGAAGAUGAGGUUUACAAAGAUGUCUGUGCGUGUGCAUCGUGUGUGUGCGUGCAUACGUGCGAGAGAAGUUUACAGUAGGAAAAGUAUUUGAACAAACUGGAAGUGCUUGCAUAGGAACUUCCUGGAGGGACUCAUCAGGUGACCUAUGAGCCAGCUAGUCUGGUAUCUAGCUGUAGGGGAAGAGGGGGGUGGGGAGAUUCAGGGCGGCCAUGAGGUAGAGGGGAGGUGAUUGGGGGUUUUCCCUCAAACCCAUCCUUUCUCACCACCCUAUCUAGCAGUGAUUGGCUGGCUUCCUUCAAGGCCACGCCUCCUUCACCACAGAUCUCCAAGAUAGGUUUACAGUUUUGGUAGGCUUCCUGUUCCUGUACAGACUUUUUCCCCUAAAACAACUAGACCAGUCUUCUAAUGUGAAGUACCGUAUUAUGCCUAUAAUAAAUCCACCUGUUUCUAUUCGGGGCAUUGAUAAAUGUUGAUGACAUUUACAUUUAAUGAACUGUAGAGUAAGGAUGAUGAUAAUGGUGUCAGAUGAACUGUAGAGUAAGGAUGAUGAUGAUAAUGGUGUCAGAUGAACUGUAGAGUAAGGAUGAUGAUAAUGGUGUCAGAUGAACUGUAGUAAUGAGUCUGUUUGUGUACUGAUCGUUAACACGUCUGUCGUCAACAUUUGAAUGUUAUCAAAUAAAUUGGAACAUCAGUCAGUG
This is a long non-coding RNA of Osmerus eperlanus (European smelt), 967 nucleotides long. RefSeq lists it as uncharacterized. The transcript is spliced from 2 exons. Lineage: Eukaryota; Metazoa; Chordata; Actinopteri; Osmeriformes; Osmeridae. The record is from RefSeq and is a predicted model, not a curated record.